CUCCUCACACGCUGGACUGCACUUCAUAAUCCUGCCAACACUUAAAUCCCUUUUGCUUCCUAGACUGUCCAGAGCAAUUGAUAAUGCUGAUGCUUUAGGAAGCAAUGCUGUGCUUUAAGUCAGUUUGGAACUCAUGUUUCAGCAAGGGCCCACUGCGUUCCCAGGCAUGGCAGAAAUCAAGUGAAACGUAAUGCAUAGAGCCUGACCACCUCUGGUCCCAAAGGCUUGCUUGGAACUCCUCACAGGAUGGAAACCUUCCUAUUUCUGCAUUAAUCCUUGUCUGCUGGCCAAGUUCCAACUCAGAAGAACUGUAGGAUGAAGAGAAGGUGGUGACGCAACACUGACCAGAGCAGAACCAAAGAGAAUGACAGACUCAUGAGAUCCUCUGAUCUGGUCCCCUCCCUCAGCCAGUGCCUUGAAUGUGAUAGAGACUCUCUUAAUUGGUUACCAGCAUGAAGCAGUGAAGUUCCAGCAAACUGAAUUUAAACUCAGCAUUUAGAAACC
RNAcentral lists this long non-coding RNA (504 nucleotides) under Equus caballus (horse). Its description in RNAcentral is "lncRNA (ENSECAG00000047840.1)". Lineage: Eukaryota; Metazoa; Chordata; Mammalia; Perissodactyla; Equidae. The record is from RNAcentral.